This 831-nucleotide ribosomal RNA is filed under the name uncultured Prosthecobacter sp. RNAcentral describes it as "bacterial SSU rRNA". It matches the Rfam family "Bacterial small subunit ribosomal RNA", at positions 25 to 855 of the family's 1533-position model. The record is from RNAcentral. Lineage: Bacteria; Pseudomonadati; Verrucomicrobiota; Verrucomicrobiia; Verrucomicrobiales; Verrucomicrobiaceae.
CAGAACGAACGCUGGCGGCGUGGUUAAGACAUGCAAGUCGAACGGAUUAGUGAGGUAGUAAUAUCUUGCUGGUUAGUGGCGAACGGGUGCGUAACACGUAGAUACAUUCCGAAAAGCGGGGAAUAGCCCAGGGAAACUUGGAUUAAUACCACAUGUGGUCUAAGGACUAAAGAUGGCGAAAGCUGUCGCUUUUUGAUUGGUCUGCGGCCUAUCAGCUAGUUGGUGAGGUAAAGGCUCACCAAGGCUACGACGGGUAGCUGGUCUUAGAGGACGACCAGCCACACUGGAACUGAGACACGGUCCAGACACCUACGGGUGGCAGCAGUCGAGAAUCUUUCACAAUGGGGGCAACCCUGAUGGAGCGACGCCGCGUGGAGGAUAAGGUCUUCGGAUUGUAAACUCCUGUCAUGCGCGAACAAAAGUCACACACUAACACGGUGUGACCGUGAUAGUAGCGCAAGAGGAAGAGACGGCUAACUCUGUGCCAGCAGCCGCGGUAAUACAGAGGUCUCAAGCGUUGUUCGGAAUCACUGGGCGUAAAGGGUGCGCAGGUGGUCAUGUAAGUCAAAUGUGAAAGACUGGGCUCAACCUCAGAUUUGCAUGUGAUACUGCGUGACUUGAGAACUGAAGAGGGAUCUUGAAUUCACGGUGUAGCAGUGAAAUGCGUAGAUAUCGUGAGGAACACCAAAGGCGAAAGCAAGAUCCUGGUCAGCUUCUGACACUCAUGCACGAAGGCUAGGGGAGCAAACGGGAUUAGAUACCCCGGUAGUCCUAGCAGUAAACGGUGCAUGCUUGGUAUGGGAAUUUAGACAUUUUCCGUGCCGUAGUUAA